CCGGAACCGGGACGUGGCG
RNAcentral lists this small nuclear RNA (19 nucleotides) under Arabidopsis thaliana (thale cress). Its description in RNAcentral is "snRNA_15775". The record is from RNAcentral. Lineage: Eukaryota; Viridiplantae; Streptophyta; Magnoliopsida; Brassicales; Brassicaceae.